GAUGAAGAACGUAGCGAAAUGCGAUAAGUAAUGUGAAUUGCAGAAUUCAGUGAAUCAUCGAAUCUUUGAACGCACAUUGCGCCCUAUGGUAUUCCGUAGGGCAUGCCUGUUCGAGCGUCAUUACACACCUCAAGCUCUGCUUGGUAUUGGGCGUCGUCCCCUAAACGGGACGUGCCUCAAGGACCUCGGCGGUGGCGUCUUUGCCUCAAGCGUAGUAAUCUUUUAUCUCGCUUUGGAGUCGAAGGCGUCGCCCGCCGGACGAAACCUUUAUUUUUCUAUCAAGGUUGACCUCGGAUCAGGUAGGGAUACCCGCUGAACUUAAGCAUAUCAAUAAGCGGAGGA
Molecule: unclassified non-coding RNA, 342 nt
Filed under: soil metagenome
Description: partial contains 5.8S ribosomal RNA, internal transcribed spacer 2, and large subunit ribosomal RNA
Rfam family: 5.8S ribosomal RNA (bases 1-120)
Source: RNAcentral